AGAACGAACGUUAGCGGCGCGCUUAACACAUGCAAGUCGAACGAGGUAGCAAUACCUAGUGGCAGACGGGUGAGUAGCGCGUGGUCAACCUACCGUUGAGUGGGGGAUAACUAGCCGAAAGGUUAGCUAAAUACCGCAUACGUCUCCGAGGGGCAUCCCUUGGUGAUAAAAGGAGCAAUCCGCUCGAUGACGGGACCGCGUCCCAUUAGCUAGUUGGUGGGGUAACGGCCUACCAAGGCAUCGAUGGGUAGCUGGUUUGAGAGAGCGACCAGCCACACUGGGACUGAGAUACGGCCCAGACUCCUACGGGAGGCAGCAGUGAGGAAUUUUCCGCAAUGGGCGAAAGCCUGACGGAGCGACGCCGCGUGUGGGAAGAAGGCCUUCGGGUCGUAAACCACUGUCGGAAGGGGAAGAUAAUGACGGUACCUUGGAGGAAGCCCGGCUAACUACGUGCCAGCAGCCGC
RNAcentral lists this ribosomal RNA (464 nucleotides) under uncultured bacterium. RNAcentral's name for it is "SSU rRNA". It matches the Rfam family "Bacterial small subunit ribosomal RNA", at positions 26 to 518 of the family's 1533-position model. The record is from RNAcentral.